CCUACGGGGCGCAGCAGUGGGGGAUAUUGCACAAUGGGGGGAACCCUGAUGCAGCGACGCCGCGUGGGUGAAGGAGUGCUUCGGCAUGUAAAGCCCUAUCGGCAGGGAAGAAGCAAGACGGUACCUGACUAAGAAGCCCCGGCUAACUACGUGCCAGCAGCCGCGGUAAUACGUAGGGGGCGAGCGUUAUCCGGAUUUACUGGGUGUAAAGGGAGCGUAGGCGGUGAUGCAAGUCAGAAGUGAAAGCCCGCAGCUCAACUGCGGGACUGCUUUUGAAACUGUAUGACUAGAUU
RNAcentral lists this ribosomal RNA (293 nucleotides) under uncultured bacterium. RNAcentral describes it as "partial 16S ribosomal RNA". It matches the Rfam family "Bacterial small subunit ribosomal RNA", at positions 338 to 647 of the family's 1533-position model. The record is from RNAcentral.